UAUCUCCAGAAAGCAUAAUUAUUAUUAUUCCAGUUUCACAUUC
This 43-nucleotide small nuclear RNA is filed under the name Arabidopsis thaliana (thale cress). RNAcentral describes it as "ncRNA (U5.12)". Lineage: Eukaryota; Viridiplantae; Streptophyta; Magnoliopsida; Brassicales; Brassicaceae. The record is from RNAcentral.